This 364-nucleotide ribosomal RNA is filed under the name uncultured Lactobacillus sp. Its description in RNAcentral is "bacterial SSU rRNA". It matches the Rfam family "Bacterial small subunit ribosomal RNA", at positions 505 to 865 of the family's 1533-position model. Lineage: Bacteria; Bacillati; Bacillota; Bacilli; Lactobacillales; Lactobacillaceae. The record is from RNAcentral.
GUGCCAGCAGCAGCGGUAAUACGUAGGUGGCAAGCGUUGUCCGGAUUUAUUGGGCGUAAAGCGAGCGCAGGCGGUUUUUUAAGUCUGAUGUGAAAGCCUUCGGCUCAACCGAAGAAGUGCAUCGGAAACUGGGAAACUUGAGUGCAGAAGAGGACAGUGGAACUCCAUGUGUAGCGGUGAAAUGCGUAGAUAUAUGGAAGAACACCAGUGGCGAAGGCGGCUGUCUGGUCUGUAACUGACGCUGAGGCUCGAAAGUAUGGGUAGCAAACAGGAUUAGAUACCCUGGUAGUCCAUACCGUAAACGAUGAAUGCUAAGUGUUAGGUAGGGUUUCCGCCCUUCAGUGCUGCAGCUAACGCAUUAAGC